GGGCGCGUGCGCGCGUCGGUGGGCAGCACGGGAGAGGCCUGCGGCGGAGCCUCACGCCUUCCGCCCCGCGAGCGCUCGGCUUCAGACACUCAAGGAGCGCAGACGACGCGGGGCUUUGGCCGAUUGAACGCCAAAUGGGAAAGUGUUGGAGAAAAGCUCACAGAGGCGCUGUCGGUGGCCAGGGCCCACGUGGUGCGGUGGGCGCGUGACAGGAGCGAGGUUCUAGUGCCUUUGUUCGAGACGAUUAAAGAUGCCGCUUUCCUGCCUUCUGAACAAAUGGACGUUGAGUAAAUAGCUGUUUUCCUGCUUUGAUUUGGCGUUUUAGCCCGGCAAGCUGAGUCAAGGACACCGGCAUCCCUCGACAGGAGACACGUGCUGUCUGCAGACUGGAUAGGCUGUCAGAGUCUGUCUCCCCUUUAGCAGUUUAGAGUCUGUGCUAUUGGUCUCUUCUUGUCUGCUCCCGUUUCUCGGGUCAACUCUGAUCACUUAAGUCUUGAUACAUCCAUUUCUCCAGACCUUGCAGUUGACAUUCAUGGUGUUUUCUAAGUUUGUAAAAUCUUCCCUGAGGCUUGGUUAGUGUUCUUUUUCCUUUCUUAAUGUGCUGUACUUGUGUUUUCCCUCCGAGGCAGCCACGGCUCGUGGUCCUGAGUGACAGCCUGGUUGUGUUUGGAACAACAGUGUGUCAGCUGGAACUCCUGGCCUCCCUGUGGCAGGUGUGGCCAUGUGACCAAGUUCUAGGGGAACUGGGGGAAUGUUUUGCUUUCCUCCUUGGAACACAGAAAUGGGCUCUGAGGAGGAACAGUUGGUCUCUGUUGUGAGGCUGAAAGCAAACUGGAGGAACCUGGGAGUGGAGACCCUGUGGCCACACCCUGGGGCCUCCACCACCCUUGCUGAAGGAUGAUCUGGGGAAAAAUAAGAAACAUCUCACCCCUAAACACAGCUAAACGUCCACAGCUAAACAACUGUGUUCCCAUCUCAUGGAGUCAGAAGUGGAUCCUGGUUGAUACAGUCUCUCCUUGCUGCUGAUCGGGCCUCUCAAGGAUUUAUCCACUUUGUUUUUUCCCAAACACUCAGCUUGUUUGUUAUAUGACUGAGGUCAACUUUUAAUCUUUAGUAAUUUCCUGUUUGUAUCAUCCUUUGAUUUGGUUAAUUUAUUUCAUGUAUGUACGUAUAUGCACAUACACAUAUACACACACACCUGUGUACAGGCAAUAAACCCAAUUAAGUUUGCAGAA
Felis catus (domestic cat) is the source of this 1235-nucleotide long non-coding RNA. RefSeq lists it as uncharacterized. NCBI's taxonomy places the organism in Eukaryota, Metazoa, Chordata, Mammalia, Carnivora, Felidae. The transcript is spliced from 3 exons. The record is from RefSeq and is a predicted model, not a curated record.